RNAcentral lists this long non-coding RNA (754 nucleotides) under Carica papaya (papaya). Its description in RNAcentral is "long non-coding RNA (CPAP_LNC000339)". The record is from RNAcentral. Lineage: Eukaryota; Viridiplantae; Streptophyta; Magnoliopsida; Brassicales; Caricaceae.
UCUCAACAUAGAUGGACACUUACUGCAUAUUGCUUCACAUGACUCGGAAGACAUUACAGCCUUGUCUUUCUACAUGAUUACUUGAUACUUUUAAUUUAGCCCAAGCAAACUGAGAAUAUCCUAUGAUAAACCUUGGAUUCCUGAAAACAUAAGAUAGUUUUUAUUUAAACUGCAAAAACUUCAAAAACAGAAACAUUUUAUUUAUUAGUUAUAUUCUUCUACAGUCAACUCUUCCGGCAGAAAAUCUCAAAGCUAACUGCUAAAAGAAGAAACCUAAAAUAUCCGACUUCACUAAAGUACCCCGUUAAAACUACAAGACGAUAAAAUAUUAACAUUAAAACAAAACAUUCGUCCUCUCUGCGUGAAGCAAUAUGUUCAUCUCCCCCUUUCACUCCCGUUUCUCGUCAACUAAACACGCAGAAAACGAACAACAACUUAAUCUCAUCAUAGCAUGAUAGUAUAACGCACAUCCAUACAGCCAUAUGAAUGCUUAAAUGUGUGUGCAGGAGUUCAUGUAAAUAACAAACAUGAACAACAAGAGAUGCAUACUUGAGAUGAUUCGGAGCUCGACGUAGUGCCCACAUGGUCAAUCAGAAAGUUCCGCGCAAAGUUAGUAGAACACUAGGAUGAAAGCCUAAGCAAAUGGACUCGAAUAGUCUGGAUAGACGACACAGGUUUUUUAGGAUGUGAAGGGAUCGAUACAGGAAUGAGCUCUUAAACCCUAAAAACCCUGAGAGGUUACUGCUUUAGAAUG